Molecule: ribosomal RNA, 460 nt
Filed under: uncultured bacterium
Lineage: Bacteria
Description: partial 16S ribosomal RNA
Rfam family: Bacterial small subunit ribosomal RNA
Source: RNAcentral
CCUACGGGAGGCAGCAGUGAGGAAUAUUGGUCAAUGGGCGUAAGCCUGAACCAGCCAAGUCGCGUGAGGGAUGAAGGUGCUAUGGAUCGUAGACCUCUUUUGCAAGGGAAUAAAGUGUGGGACGUGUCCUAUUUUGUAUGUACCUUAUGAAUAAGGAUCGGCUAACUCCGUGCCAGCAGCCGCGGUAAUACGGAGGAUCCGAGCGUUAUCCGGAUUUAUUGGGUUUAAAGGGUGCGUAGGCGGCCUUUUAAGUCAGCGGUGAAAGUCUGUGGCUCAACCAUAGAAUUGCCGUUGAAACUGGGGGGCUUGAGUGUGUUUGAGGCAGGCGGAAUGCGUGGUGUAGCGGUGAAAUGCUUAGAUAUCGCGCAGAACCCCGAUUGCGAAGGCAGCCUGCCAAGCCAUGACUGACGCUGAUGCACGAAAGCGUGGGGAUCAAACAGGAUUAGAUACCCCAGUAGUC